AAGCUCGUAGUUGAAUUUCGGGAUCAAUGGAUCGGUCAUGCCGUUGGUAUGUACUGGUCCUAUUGGUUCUCACCUUCUAAGGAACCUUAAUGUCAUUAAUUUGAUGUUUUGGGGAAUUAGGACUGUUACCUUGAAAGAAUUAGAGUGUUUAGAGCAGGCUAACGCUUGAAUACAUUAGCAUGGAAUAAUGAAAUAGGACAUCGCAUUCUAUUUUGUUGGUUUCUAGGAUCGAUGUAAUGAUUAAUAGGGAUAGUUGGG
This 258-nucleotide ribosomal RNA is filed under the name uncultured Glomeromycotina. RNAcentral describes it as "partial 18S ribosomal RNA". It matches the Rfam family "Eukaryotic small subunit ribosomal RNA", at positions 624 to 886 of the family's 1831-position model. Lineage: Eukaryota; Fungi; Glomeromycota. The record is from RNAcentral.